UUACCAACUCCAGACACCUCCCAGCCUCCCUCCUCCUCCCUCCUCUUUCCCUCCUACCCUCUCUCUUGGCCCCGCCCCCGCCCCGCCCCCGCCCCGCCCCAUCCCUUCACGCGUUGGAUGACCCCGCCCCUCGUGCUCCUGGCCCCGCCCCCUACCUGGAGGAGCUGCCUGCUGCGAGUUCCGGACAGUGGCUGCCCGGACCGGAAGUGUGGUGUUGCCAUGGCGAGGACCGAGCGCCGGGCCCGCCCCCAUGGUGGCGGUGGCAGCGGCCGGGCGGACAGACGGACGGACACACUGCACGAGUUGAUGUCAGGCCAGGCGAGGGCGCGGGAUCCUGGGAGGAGGAUUUGUUAGGCUUGCCUUCUCUCUCUCCUGUCUAGGCAGUGAGGCAGGCCUGGGCUGGAUUGGGCUGGCUGGAGGCUCUUUGCCAUGGUAAGUGUGGAAUUUUCAGUGCUUUCUUGAGCAAUGUGUGGCCGUAGCACUAGGGACUGGAAUUAGGCAGAGGGCUGGUGCCUGGCAAGGAGGUUUGGGGGGACCAGCUGGAAGGGGAGCUGACAAACGAAGGCUAGGUAGGGGUGAGCAUGGCUAGAAUAGAGCUGAUCAGUCAAGAGACCUGAUGAGCAGCCACACUCAAAAGAAGGGAGCAUCACCUUCUUUCCUUUGCUCACCCUGGGAAGGAAGCCAGGUCCAAAGUUUUAUGUGACAAGUCUAAAGGACUGGUUUGUGGUGGCAGGGGAUGGGUAGGUAGGCUCUUCUGCAUGAUAAUGUUGUUUUGGUCCUAGGUCCUAGGUCCUAGAGUCUUUGUCUGUGGUGUGUGAUUGGUAACCUUUCUUAGGGACAGGAAGGGUGCUGUUUGGUUUUUUUUUUAAUCAUUUUUCUUUUUUUUCUUUAUUCCUUUAAUAUUUUAUUUUUCUUCUGUUACAUGUAAACACAAUUUUUAACAUUUGUUUUUAAAACUUUGAGUUCCAAAUUCUCUCCCUUCCCCCCCA
RNAcentral lists this long non-coding RNA (989 nucleotides) under Phascolarctos cinereus (koala). Its description in RNAcentral is "lncRNA (ENSPCIG00000030639.1)". Lineage: Eukaryota; Metazoa; Chordata; Mammalia; Diprotodontia; Phascolarctidae. The record is from RNAcentral.